Long non-coding RNA from Scylla paramamosain (green mud crab), 1476 nucleotides. RefSeq lists it as uncharacterized. The record is from RefSeq and is a predicted model, not a curated record. The transcript has 2 exons. Lineage: Eukaryota; Metazoa; Arthropoda; Malacostraca; Decapoda; Portunidae.
GGGAAAGGUUACUGUUUACAAUGACACAUCAGAAUAGAAUUUGGCUUGUACUUUCAUCUUUCAGUGCCAAGUAUGUUCUUGUUGUUGAUGAUGGUGGUGGUGAUGGUGGUGGUGGUGGUGGUGGUGUUGCUGGUACAAAUACAUUUUUCUUUCUCUGUAUACUGAGUGGUCUUUCUUCCCUUUUCAGCUGAAGAGAACGGUGGGUCUUUACGUCAGGGAGAAGAAAGUCCGUCCUUCACUGUGUUGUCCCCCACGAUGACUGCCAUUCCCUUCUUUGACAUCAUAAGAUUUCUCAAGAUGUGACAGACUUGGACACACACACACACACACACACACACACACACACACUGUGGUGUCUAUUAAAUGGUCCAGCCUUCCAUACAUUGCAGAGCGUUAAAUCGGUUAGUUAAAGCGGAGGUGGAUAUGUGACAUGUGUGAAACGAAAUAGCUCGUUUGCUAAGAAACUGCCCUUUUAAAAGGAUGCAGUAUCUGACUCAAGCAAUCACCAUAUUCCUGUGAAGCACACAAAAGCAGUUUAGCAAGAUGUACUACUUCUCGUGAAUUUACUUUUCGAUCACUACAUACUUGCUAUUUAAAGACCUGAACAACCAUACGACCUAAACAAGAUAACUGGUCUUCACACGCACUUGAGCUCGCCGUUUCUACUGGGCAGGGAGAGGCGGGAGCAUAGUCACUUGGUACUGGAGCGGAAGGUAAUCAGGUCGCAUUGGCCUCAGGUCAGAUGAUCCUCAAGGCAGAUUGGCCUGAGUGUAAAUAAGCCGCAGGACGUUUGGUUCUCGAAACACUUGGUACUCAAACCACUUGGUCUCUAAAAUGUCUCAGAGUGAUUGUAAUUAGGGAAAAGUGUACCAAGUGGGAGUCAAACGGUUAAACAUCAAUUAUACAGCUUUGUGACUCGUCUCUGAUCGCCGCCACACACACACACACACACACACAGACACACACACACACACUCAGGGCGGUGAAGCGGGUGGAAGUGCAUUGUUAUUACCUCCAUACACCACGGUAUCCUUAGCGCCCCUCCAAGCCUUGCCCCUAGACUCGGGUGUGUAGGAGGAAGAGGAGGAGGAGGGGCAAGGAGGAGUAUGGGUACCAUUCGCCCCAGUACCAAGUGACUGCAAACCAAGAGAGCCGGGGUUGGUGGCGCGGCCCUGUAAUCCGGCGACGCGGAGGCUUGGCCCAGUGGACGGCUUGAGGCGAGGGUGGCUGCUGCGCGACUCCCCAUGUUGAGUGGGCGUCCGCACUAAGCUCGGCAUCAAUAUGGCCGCCCCUGGGGAGCCGGGGGCGUCCAGGUUGCCUAAGGAGGUGUGAACCAGGCCAGGGGGGAAACCCAGCAGCCAAAAGCACCCGUGUGGAGCAGCAGUGGGAUCGCGGCCGUGAGUGGGCGGCGCGCAGUAGCCUUGCCAACACAGGCGAACCUGGUACUUUUAUUUUAUUCUUCUCAUUUUUGUCUAC